CCCGCCCUCUCCAGCCUCCGCGAGAGCUGCUGCACCAGGAGUCCGAGGCCGAGCCGCCCCACGCAGCAGCCCCUGCCUUUGGGGUGCGCAGGCCCCUCCCUGCCCUGCUGGAGUGGGGGAGGUUGUGAUCCCUGUUUGAGGGAUGGGGAAACUGAGGCCAGGGGCCGCACAGCUGAAGAAGCGGCCCCUGAGUGACAGACUGUUUCCCUCCGCCCCAUCGGCUCGUACAGCGGGGGACUUAAGUCUCCAAGUGCCCUUAUCUGUACCCGCAAGUGAUCGCAGCACAGCACUGCUGACCCAAUUCACAGACACCAAGUCAGAGGUGUGGUUGUGGCUCCUUACGAAGAGCCAUAGUUUGUGAAAGAACUUUUGGGUGAAUACUCUGUGGGCCUGAUGACUUGCAGCUGUCACCAUACCUCACAAGGAGUAGACAAGAGAGGGAACUGAAGAACCCAUGCCUAGGAAUGCCUGCUGCAGAGAUCCUACCUGAUCAUGCUGGAGCACGCCAGGAUGAGGUGGUUUUCCCUAGGUCAGGCCUGUUUGUAAGUAUACUGAUUGCAUGCUUAUGAAUACUUUGUUACUGUAUUGGGUGUAGUGACUAUUUAUUUUUAGGGUUCUAGGCAUGUUUACAGCAAUUGUAUAAAAUAUCAUUUGGCCUUUGGAUUUAAGAAAGGAAUUGUUGAUUAAAUUAGUGUCUGGUGGUCUCCAAUAAUUUCAGAUACUAUUAAUGAUUCCAGAAUUUUUGGCGACCACGAAAGGACCCCUGACAUUAAUUUCGGUAGCCUGUUAUCUGGGGACAAUAUAGAAUUCUUUCCUAAAGAGAAAUUCAAUAAAAUAAGGGGACUAGAGGGAGGUACUUUAGAUACCUAUGUAAAAGAAUGCUUGGCAGAGCAUGGCAGAGGUCUGUUGAAUGCCACUGAUUUUAAAACAAAAACAAAAACAAAAACAUUGGCAGCCACAGAAAAAACAGUAUCUAGUUUCUUUUACCCUAAGGCAAAGAAAGCCAAAAUAAAGCAGCAGUUUUACAAGC
Long non-coding RNA from Emys orbicularis (European pond turtle), 1030 nucleotides. RefSeq lists it as uncharacterized. The record is from RefSeq and is a predicted model, not a curated record. NCBI's taxonomy places the organism in Eukaryota, Metazoa, Chordata, Testudines, Emydidae. The transcript has 3 exons.